This 354-nucleotide long non-coding RNA is filed under the name Gossypium raimondii (Peruvian cotton). RNAcentral describes it as "long non-coding RNA (GRAI_LNC002733)". Lineage: Eukaryota; Viridiplantae; Streptophyta; Magnoliopsida; Malvales; Malvaceae. The record is from RNAcentral.
UUAACUUUCUCUCUCGAGCCCUCAACAACCAUUAUCAACUCAAGCUACUCUCAAUUGCCAGAACCUUCAACCACUUAAAAUCACCAUUCCCUUAAAAAAGCACCACGUAAACCCUAAAACUAAGCUCUCUCACCACCACCUUUCCCAUUUCAGCUCAGCCAUCACUCCUAAUAGACCACCACCAAGCCUCGCUCUCAAUCCCACUACCAUUCUCACCACCAUAGUAAAUCCCUUUACCAAACAAAUCCCGGUAACCAACCCUAAAAACCAAUAACCUUAUAUCCAAGAGGCAUCAAUAAAUGCAAUCAAAUAGAAAAAAAAGGAAAGGAUAAACCCAUUUUUUCCAACAAAGAC